CGCAGAUUGCCGGAAUUACCUAGGAUAAAGGCACAUAUAACAAAGAAACCUUAAAGAACAGAAUCAAGUUGAUGAUUCACGCAAUUCUUCACUUUCAGAAAGCAUCGAGAGGUGCCAAUGGAAGAAACGCUGAAAUCGAAGCGUUUCUGGGUGGUCAAACACUUCCUGCCACCGCCUUGGCCAUAUCCGUGGUGGCGUCAGUAGCGAAUGGCGCGAAUGUGGUGAGUUUUGUAGGCCACUUCUACGCACACGGAUUUCACACCGCAUGGGUUGUGGCUGGCACCUUAGUUGCAUCGACACUGACCGUGACAGCAGUAGUGCCUCUGCUCUACGGGCUACGGGUUGCCUCGAUUUUUCAGUACCUCCGUCUGCGUUUUGACAACAAGGUCGGGAUCACAGCGUGCCUUGUCUACUUUGUCCUGAGCCAAACGCUUGGUGCAGUGAGCAUAUACAGCGCUGCUCUUGG
Molecule: long non-coding RNA, 466 nt
Organism: Rhipicephalus sanguineus (brown dog tick)
Lineage: Eukaryota; Metazoa; Arthropoda; Arachnida; Ixodida; Ixodidae
Exons: 3
Source: RefSeq, a predicted model, not a curated record